CAGUAGCCACGGGAAUACAGAGGGUGCGAGCGUUAAUCGGAUUUACUGGGCGUAAAGCGUGCGUAGGCGGCUUUUUAAGUCGGAUGUGAAAUCCCUGAGCUUAACUUAGGAAUUGCAUUCGAUACUGGGAAGCUAGAGUAUGGGAGAGGAUGGUAGAAUUCCAGGUGUAGCGGUGAAAUGCGUAGAGAUCUGGAGGAAUACCGAUGGCGAAGGCAGCCAUCUGGCCUAAUACUGACGCUGAGGUACGAAAGCAUGGGGAGCAAACAGGAUUAGAUACCCCCGUAGUCCCUGUCUCUUAUAU
RNAcentral lists this ribosomal RNA (301 nucleotides) under uncultured bacterium. Its description in RNAcentral is "partial 16S ribosomal RNA". It matches the Rfam family "Bacterial small subunit ribosomal RNA", at positions 509 to 809 of the family's 1533-position model. The record is from RNAcentral.